CCUUGAGAGAGAGAGAGAGAAGUAAACUGAAAAAAAAAAAAAAAAAAAAACUUAACCUUUGUAGCCAUCUGAUCCGAGCUCGACUCCUUAAAAUGGCGGCUAAUGUUAACGAUUGUCUGAACUCAUCUUUCGGAUGUGCAGCUGGGAAAAAUUUCCUAGAGCAAGGUAACACAAAUUCGCCGCUGAAUUUUCUCAUCCUUCAAUUUGAUUCACUCGAUUCUGAUAUCAUUCAAUUAGUUGAAAAUUUUUCAACUGAUUCUCUGAUAUCAUUCUCAUAAGCGUCUCACAAAAUUAAAGAAUGAAUUGGUUUCAACGUAAAAUUUAUUUAUAUAAUGUCACUUUCGGACUCUACAUGCUCGACUGGUGGGAACGUUGCCUCUUCAAUAUCUUGGUGGUCGUUUUGAUGUGGUUUGUUUUCUACAAUGGCUUCCGAUAUUUUGCCGAGUUUUGUAGAAGGGAACUGUUGUGCAACACAGGAAUUGCAAGAACUUUUAGCACCAGCUGUAACUUUAAAUGAGUAUGUCUUAAAGUGCGUGAAGUUGCGUUUUAUGUUUUCUUCACCGCAGCCUAAAUUGCCAAUUUGCCAUUGUAUGUUUCAGUUACAGCUUAAACAUAAUUGCUUCUUUUGAUGUUGAAACUCAUACGAUAUUUUCCUUAAUAUUUCGUAUUUGGAACGAAAAUUUUCUGCGA
Coffea arabica (coffee) is the source of this 690-nucleotide RNA transcript. RefSeq lists it as uncharacterized. The record is from RefSeq and is a predicted model, not a curated record. Lineage: Eukaryota; Viridiplantae; Streptophyta; Magnoliopsida; Gentianales; Rubiaceae.